Molecule: ribosomal RNA, 765 nt
Filed under: uncultured Eubacteriales bacterium
Lineage: Bacteria; Bacillati; Bacillota; Clostridia; Eubacteriales
Description: bacterial SSU rRNA
Rfam family: Bacterial small subunit ribosomal RNA
Source: RNAcentral
GAUGAACGCUGGCGGCGUGCCUAACACAUGCAAGUCGAGCGAGGGUUUGCUCAGUAUUGAGUAUUCUAAAACUAGAAUGUUCAAUUCUGAGCAAAACCAAGCGGCGGACGGGUGAGUAACGCGUGGGUAACCUGCCCUAUACACAUGGAUAACAUACUGAAAAGUUUACUAAUACAUGAUAAUAUAUAUUUGCGGCAUCGCAGAUAUAUCAAAGUGUUAGCGGUAUAGGAUGGACCCGCGUCUGAUUAGCUAGUUGGUGAGAUAACUGCCCACCAAGGCGACGAUCAGUAGCCGACCUGAGAGGGUGAUCGGCCACAUUGGAACUGAGACACGGUCCAAACUCCUACGGGAGGCAGCAGUGGGGAAUAUUGCACAAUGGGCGAAAGCCUGAUGCAGCAACGCCGCGUGAAGGAUGAAGGCCUUCGGGUUGUAAACUUCUGUUCUAAGGGAAGAAAGAAAUGACGGUACCUUAGGAGCAAGCCCCGGCUAACUACGUGCCAGCAGCCGCGGUAAUACGUAGGGGGCAAGCGUUAUCCGGAAUUAUUGGGCGUAAAGAGUGCGUAGGUGGUUACCUAAGCGCAAGGUUUAAAUUAGAGGCUCAACCUCUACAUGCCUUGCGAACUGGGCUACUUGAGUGCAGGAGGGGAAAGCGGAAUUCCUAGUGUAGCGGUGAAAUGCGUAGAUAUUAGGAGGAACACCGGCGGCGAAGGCGGCUUUCUGGACUUUUACUGACGCUCAGGUACGAAAGCGUGGGGAGCAAACAGG